UGUUUUUGAAAACGCGCCCUAAAGCUAUCCAAUUUCAACAGUUAAAAUAAGUAUUACCUAUCUUAGUAAUACAUAUAAAAAAACAUCAAAAAUAAAUAAGCGGCCUUAUUACAUUUAAAAACCCAAAACUUCAAACGUAAAUAAAAGGAUGUCCAGUUCACCAGAAGAAAAUCAAACUUUCAGAACAGGUGGCCACUUCGAAUUCCCUCACAGCUCCAAGCCCACUAUGGUUGGGGAUUACCUGCGUGGAUGAAAAUAAAAGGGGUGAGUUUGGGGAAACUCAGUGUGUAAAUUAACCCAACCAUAGCCUAUAUCAGCUUAAACCACAGAAAUAGAAUAAGUUGGCCUUAGCCCAGAACAGAAUUCAAAAUAAAGCCCAUAGGCCCAUAACAGAACAGAACAGAUAUUACAUGUUUAUGCAGAAACCCAACCAUAUCCAACCGUAUACACCCCCGUACCAACCUUACACCGUGUGGGGAGACAACUUGACCCACCCAACCGCUACACACCACAGAAUUUGCAGCAUGGCUGCCAGAACAAAUAAUGUGACAGAGUCACCAGAUACAGAUAAUCGUGGGAGAGCCACCAGAACAGAUAUUUGUGGCAGAGCCACCAUAAAGCUUCCUCCAUAAUAUAACCCAUGUCCCCAUGCAACAGAUAUAUAAUCAUGGCAUACAUCAUACAGAAUCAGAUCGUCAUGCUUUUCAGUCAAAAUUAACCCUACGGGUAUAACGGUAAUUUUGCACCUAGGGGUACAACAGUAAUUUUCUAUACAUAGGGGUAUUAUAGUAAUUUAGCUACUUUCAAGGUUUUCAUGCAUAUCCUAACUAUUUACGUACUAUCAGAACACUUACCGCGCAUACUUACCGAAUUGGGCCCGUUGGCCCAUGAACCCGAUCUUUGGCCCAUUAAGCCUAAAUUAUCAAAAUGUACGAAAUCGCGCGUACUGCAGUUUAUUACUUUAGAUUACCAAAUAUACAAACCCAACUAUCUUACGAGCAUUCGCACACUCGCAAAUUCCCAAAAUACCGACUUUUCGGCAUUUCGGCUUUUCGGCUUUUGCCAAUCUAGUCUAUGAGAGGGUGUCAGUUACACACCUGUUUGCGACGAUAUGCUGACGAGAUCCACACACGAACCGCCUACAAUUGGAUUACUAACACGUUAAUCUAACUAUUCAAAUACAAACUACGUAUUAACCCCUUACAAUAUUCGGCCAACCACACCUACAGAUCAUAGUAAGCUUAUAAGAAAUCAAUAAGCAACUCAUUAACAAUUUUUUGUCAAUGUUUACCACAUAAUCAUAAUUUCACUGCAAGCUGUCUUCCUGACCAAUAGUCACUAAAUUAUUUAUAACUAGAGUUACGAAACUCCAAAUCAAGUUCCGUUAAUUUUCCCUGAAAAUAGACUCAUAUAUCUUUUAUCCAUAAAAUUUUCAGAAUUUUUGGUAUGGCCAAUCAAUACCAGAUUUUUCUUAAAGUUUCCCAUGUUUCACUGUUUGACUAAUCUGACCACUCUUCAUUAUGAAUCAAAUUUCUCAUUGUACAGAAUUCAAAAUAUGUUUUUGUUUAUUUCAUUAGAAACUAGACUCAAUAAGCUUUAAUUACAUAAUUUAUUCAGCUUCUAAUUCAUCUCCCACAAUUUAUGGUGAUUUUCCAAAGUCACGUUACUGCUGCUGUCCCAAGCAGAUUUAUUACCAAAUCACUCUUUCACACAUACCUUGCAUGCAUGUUAUUUAAACAUGUAUAUCACCAAUCAAUCAUCACAUAUCUAUGAUUUUACUUAAGAAUAAUCUCCAUUUCAUCAUUUUAAAGCACAACAUGUUAGCUGAUUUUUCCCUUUAACAUCUAAGGCACAUGCAUGCUCAUUUGUUUGGCUCAACUUCACCUAUCUUCCAUUUUUCAUCAAAAGAACAUGAAACAACAACCAUUUCCUUCAUUUUAAUUCAUGACUAAAUGCUCACAACACAACUAAAAAUCAAAAUAUACUUCAAGAGUUAAUGUAGAAUCAAGAAGAACUCAUGAACCUCAAAAUAGAAGCAAGGUACCAAGAACUUACCUUUAAUUUUCCUCCUCCGAAUGACCAAAUACUCAAGAGCUUUCUCCUCUCCUUUCUCUUCUCCAACUUUCAGCUAUGAUGAACAAAGAUGGACAAAACUUUGUUCUUUUCACCCCUUUUUCUUUUAAUAAAACUUC
This 2192-nucleotide long non-coding RNA is filed under the name Gossypium barbadense (sea-island cotton). RNAcentral's name for it is "long non-coding RNA (GBAR_LNC004533)". Lineage: Eukaryota; Viridiplantae; Streptophyta; Magnoliopsida; Malvales; Malvaceae. The record is from RNAcentral.